UUGCCAUUUGCGUGGGUCACAACGCAGGUGAUGAGGUUGGUCGGGGGCACGACGCCCCCAAGUAGCGGUACCACGACACGGAUGGAGGUUGGGCGAACCCAGCUCGCUAAUGAUCCUUCCGCAGGUUCACUGUUGGGGUUAGCUCGGACGUCCACAGAUGGGGGGAUGGGGUGCACUCACCCUACGGAAA
This 190-nucleotide unclassified non-coding RNA is filed under the name uncultured fungus. Its description in RNAcentral is "sequence contains ITS1". The record is from RNAcentral. Lineage: Eukaryota; Fungi.